GGACAAUGGGCGAAAGCCUGAUCCAGCAAUGCCGCGUGCAGGAUGAAGGCCCUCGGGUUGUAAACUGCUUUUGUACGGAACGAAAAGCCUGGGGCUAAUAUCCCCGGGUCAUGACGGUACCUGCAGAAGAAGCAUCGGCUAACUACGUGCCAGCAGCCGCGGUAAUACGUAGGAUGCAAGCGUUGUCCGGAAUUAUUGGGCGUAAAGCGUACGUAGGCGGUUUGUUAAGUCAGGGGUUAAAGACUGAGGCUCAACCUCAGGAGUGCCCUUGAUACUGGCAGGCUGGAGGACGGCAGAGGAAAGUGGAAUUCCCAGUGUAGCGGUGAAAUGCGUAGAUAUUGGGAGGAACACCAGUGGCGAAAGCGACUUUCUGGGCCGUUCCUGACGCUGAGGUACGAAAGCGUGGGGAGCAAACAGGAUUAGAUACCCUGGUAGUCCACGCCGUAAACGAUGGAUACUAGGUGUAGAGGGUAUCGACCCCCUCUGUGCCGUAGCUAACGCGUUAAGUAUCCCGCCUGGG
Molecule: ribosomal RNA, 520 nt
Filed under: uncultured bacterium
Lineage: Bacteria
Description: bacterial SSU rRNA
Rfam family: Bacterial small subunit ribosomal RNA
Source: RNAcentral